AUACGUAGGGGGCGAGCGUUGUCCGGAAUGAUUGGGCGUAAAGGGCGCGUAGGCGGCCCGGUAAGUCUGGAGUGAAAGUCCUGUUUUUAAGAUGGGAAUUGCUUUGGAUACUGUCGGGCUUGAGUGCAGGAGAGGUAAGUGGAAUUCCCAGUGUAGCGGUGAAAUGCGUAGAGAUUGGGAGGAACACCAGUGGCGAAUGCGGCUUUCUGGACUGUAACUGACGCUGAGGCGCGAAAUUGUGGGGAGCAAACAGGAUUAGAUACCCUGGUAGUCCACACUGUAAACGAUGAAUGCUAGGUGUAGGGGGUAUCGACCCCUUCUGUGCCGCAGUUAACACAAUAAGUAUUCCGCCUGGGGAGUACGGCCGCAAGGUUGAAACUCAAAUGAAUUGGCGGGG
This 397-nucleotide ribosomal RNA is filed under the name uncultured bacterium. RNAcentral describes it as "partial 16S ribosomal RNA". It matches the Rfam family "Bacterial small subunit ribosomal RNA", at positions 523 to 918 of the family's 1533-position model. The record is from RNAcentral.